CCCAGACUCCUACGGGAGGCAGCAGUGGGGAAUAUUGCACAAUGGGCGAAAGCCUGAUGCAGCAACGCCGCGUGAAGGAAGAAGGGUUUCGGCUCGUAAACUUCUAUCAACAGGGACGAAAGAAAUGACGGUACCUGAAUAAGAAGCCCCGGCUAACUACGUGCCAGCAGCCGCGGUAAUACGUAGGGGGCAAGCGUUAUCCGGAAUUACUGGGUGUAAAGGGUGAGUAGGCGGACGCUUAAGUCAGCGGUAAAAUGGGGGGGCUCAACCUCGUCGAGCCGUUGAAACUGGGUGCCUUGAGUGGGCGAGAAGUACGCGGAAUGCGUGGUGUAGCGGUGAAAUGCAUAGAUAUCGCGCAGAACUCCGAUUGCGAAGGCAGCAUGCCGGCUCCACACUGACGCUGAGGCACGAAAGCGUGGGUAUCGAACAGGAUUAGAUACCCCAGUA
RNAcentral lists this ribosomal RNA (447 nucleotides) under uncultured bacterium. RNAcentral's name for it is "bacterial SSU rRNA". It matches the Rfam family "Bacterial small subunit ribosomal RNA", at positions 330 to 792 of the family's 1533-position model. The record is from RNAcentral.